UACGGAGGGUGCAAGCGUUCUCCGGAUUCACUGGGUUUAAAUGGUGCUUAGGUUGAGUGGUAAGUCAGUGGUGAAAUCUCCAAGCUUAACUUGGAAACUGCCGUUGAUACUAUCAUUCUUGAAUAUCGUGGAGGUAAGCGGAAUAUGUCAUGUAGCGGUGAAAUGCUUAGAUAUGACAUAGAACACCGAUUGCGAAGGCAGCUUGCUACACGAUCAUUGACACUGAGGCACGAAAGCGUGGGGAUCAAACAGG
This 253-nucleotide ribosomal RNA is filed under the name uncultured bacterium. Its description in RNAcentral is "partial 16S ribosomal RNA". It matches the Rfam family "Bacterial small subunit ribosomal RNA", at positions 524 to 776 of the family's 1533-position model. The record is from RNAcentral.